Molecule: ribosomal RNA, 385 nt
Filed under: uncultured bacterium
Lineage: Bacteria
Description: bacterial SSU rRNA
Rfam family: Bacterial small subunit ribosomal RNA
Source: RNAcentral
UCUUCGGCAAUGGGCGCAAACCUGACCGAGCGACGCCGCGUGUGCGAUGAAGGCCUUCGGGUUGUAAAGCACUGUCGAGGGGGAUAAAGGCGCAAGCUUGAUAGAUCCCUGGAGGAAGCACGGGCUAAGUUCGUGCCAGCAGCCGCGGUAAGACGAACCGUGCGAACGUUGUUCGGAAUCACUGGGCUUAAAGGGUGCGUAGGCGGGGUGGCAAGUCUGUGGUGAAAUCCUCCGGCUCAACCGGAGAACUGCCGUGGAUACUGCUACUCUCGAGGGGUGUAGGGGCAUGUGGAACUCAGGGUGGAGCGGUGAAAUGCGUAGAUAUCCUGAGGAACGCCGGGGCGAAAGGGACGUGCUGAUGGCCUUCUGACGCUGAGGCACGAAG